AGUGGGGAAUAUUGGACAAUGGGGGCAACCCUGAUCCAGCCAUGCCGCGUGUGUGAAGAAGGCUUUCGGGUUGUAAAGCACUUUCAGUAAGGAGGAAAACCUUACGGUUAAUAACCGUGAGGCUUGACGUUACUUACAGAAGAAGCACCGGUUAACUCCGUGCCAGCAGCCGCGGUAACACGGGGGUGGCGAGCGUUGUCCGGAAUUACUAGGCGUAAAGGGCAAGUAGGCGGAAUAGUAAGUCAGAUGUUAAAGGCAUGGGCUCAACCGAUGUACGGCAUUUGAUACUGUUAUUCUAGAGUAAGGUGGGGGAAGACGGAAUUCCUGAUGUAGCGGUGGAAUGCGCAGAUAUCAGGAGGAACACCAGAGGCGAAGGCGGUCUUCUAUACCAUUACUGACGCUGAAUUGCGAAGGUGUGGGUAUCAAACAGGAUUAGAUACCCUGGUAGUCCACACAGUAAACGAUGUGCACUAGAUGUUGGGAGUUAUACACUUUCGGUGUCGCAGCAAACGCGUUAAGUGCAUCGCCUGGGGAGUACGAUCGCAAGGUUA
Molecule: ribosomal RNA, 551 nt
Filed under: uncultured bacterium
Lineage: Bacteria
Description: bacterial SSU rRNA
Rfam family: Bacterial small subunit ribosomal RNA
Source: RNAcentral